CCGCCCACGGCCUGGGCGCCAUUUAAGCUGGGCCCUGAGGGGCUGUUGCCUCCUUAGGGCUGGGCUGUAGCUCAGUGGGUUUGUAGCCCUGUGUGCCCUGGAUCUGUCCCUAGGUGUCCCUGGGGCUGCCUGGUGAUGGCUGGGCAAGGUAGACUUUAGGGAAGAGCUGGAGAACUUCAGGACUUCAUGCUUUGAGAUACAAAACUAUGACUUGGAUACUAAACAAUGAAUGCUGAGGCACAAGACCGAAGAGAUCAAGCUAGAGUUUUAGGUGUAGUCCAAUGGCCAUUGCUAAACAACUUCUGGGAUUAUGGCCAAUGGAAUUCAUGGAGGAACUUGACAUGUUCGGUUGCUCACCGUGUUCUCUGCUGUGCUCGUGCUUCCUCCACAUAACACGGUAACUACUUUCAGGCAACCCAAGGCUGCUGAAGGGAAGCAGCAUCCAACAAUCUCUUCACGACUACGGUAACAGCAUGUAAAGUGCUGUUCCACCCUCCUUGUGCAGUUCCACAUGGUCACCUCAGUAGGAUAAUGGUUUGCCCAGAGCAUGAAUUCCCUCGUGUGGUGACUGUCAAUUGACUCCAACUGUAAAAUGCAGUGAGAGCAAACAGUGGUGGGAGCACAUGCUGGUAUCCGCAUCACUGCUUCCCUGCUCAACGCUGAUGCUGACAUGUGUCAGAAUGGCAGCUACCAUCUCCUCCCUGGCUAAUAGGAGAGUAUGUCCUAGGGUGCUUCUUCACCUGUAGUGCUAAUGGCAGUCCUGUUCAGAGAGGUUUCGUUUCAGAUCCUCCAGGAAGCUUUUUUCUCCUUCCGCUGUGUAACACUGUUUGGAUAACUGACCGGUUACUCACGUCAGAAGUCAGAAUCCCGGUGUGGCCGCGUAUGGUACAUUUUCAGGUGUUCUAUUUGCAAUGUCACAUGUAGAUGAAAUUCAGAAUAUGUGCCAUUUCAGUUCUCUGCAGACUUUUUCUGACCCAAAUCCAAGGUAAACUUUGAUCUUCUAUGAUUUAAUAUCAAAGUCAAGCAUAGCAAUAGGAGACUGAACAGGUGAAUAUCUAUGCCUUCCCCAUAAGGAACUACUAUCUGCUGUAUGUUUGAAUUCAAACAAUGAUAUGUAAUGAGCAGGAGAGUUCACAGGCUCAGCUUUGUAGAAUUUAGUCUUGUCCAGUGUGCAAAUUCCUUUGUGGUGAAUGUCAGCUAACCGUGACCUUACACAGAACGGUGCCACUCCUGUUGUAAAUCAAGUUAGGCGAUGAUUACACUUGAGCAACUUCCAAGACAAGCAGACCUAUAGACUGCAGAUCCUCAUCCAUGUGUGCUGGUUUUGCACUGUGUUGUUUGGAGGUAGGAUCCUAGGUGAGUGUUUGCUGUUACACAGAUGAAGCAAAUUAUUGGAA
This 1397-nucleotide long non-coding RNA is filed under the name Anas platyrhynchos platyrhynchos (common mallard). Its description in RNAcentral is "lncRNA (ENSAPLG00000019266.1)". Lineage: Eukaryota; Metazoa; Chordata; Aves; Anseriformes; Anatidae. The record is from RNAcentral.